RNAcentral lists this ribosomal RNA (477 nucleotides) under Triticum aestivum (bread wheat). RNAcentral's name for it is "partial small subunit ribosomal RNA". Lineage: Eukaryota; Viridiplantae; Streptophyta; Magnoliopsida; Poales; Poaceae. The record is from RNAcentral.
AUGCGUGGUCAGGUGAUUUUGUCGGAUAAGCCUGACAAAGUUAAAUGGUUACUCACAAACUCCGGUAGCUUUUCCGUUAAAUCUCUGUAUCACUAUCUUAUAGCUAGACAAGUUGUUUUCCCUUUUAAAAAACUAUGGAGGAUGAAGAUGCCUCUUAAAGUUAAGGCAUUCUCUUGGUUAGUAAUCAAAAAUAAGAUUCUGACCAAGGACAAUCUGAGUAAAAAAGGCUGGAAAGGUGCUAAGUUUUGUGAAUUUUAUGACUGUGAAGAGAGUGUGAAUCAUUUAUUUUUCUCUUGUUCCUUAGCUAAGUUCCCGUGGAAUAUUGUGGGAUGUGCUCUAGGGAACCAGAGAGCUCCAAUGUCUUUUUUCAACCUAUGUCAGAACUGGUUAUCUAGCUAUACUGGCAAAGAUAGAGUAGUUGUUUUAUUGGGUACUGCUGCCCUCUUGUGGUCUAUAUGGAAAACAAGGAACAAAUAG